Molecule: ribosomal RNA, 1416 nt
Filed under: metagenome
Description: bacterial SSU rRNA
Rfam family: Archaeal small subunit ribosomal RNA
Source: RNAcentral
UCUCGUUGAUCCUGCGAGAGAUUUCUGCUAGAGGAGUUGGAUUAAGCCAUGAAAGUGAGUUAGGUUUUUCCUGACCGCAGAAGGCUGAGUAACACGUCAUUAAUCUGCCUUAUGGUGCCCAAUAAUCUCGGGAAACUGAGUGUAAAAAGUAUAGUUAUCUGAAACUGGAAUGUUAAGAUGACAAACAUAAGAUGAGAUGGCGGCCGAUUAGGUAGUUGGUGAGGUAAUGGCUCACCAAGCCUUUGAUCGGUAGGGGUCGUGAGAGCGAUGACCUCCAGAAGGACACUGAGAUAAGGGUCCUAGCCCUAAGGGGUGCAGCAGGCGCGAAAACUCUACAAUGCACGCAAGUGUGAUAGGGCAACUCCUCGUGCUUAUCGAAAGAUAGGCUUUUGCCAAGUUUAAUGCACUUGGCGAAUAAGUGGUGGGCAAGACUGGUGCCAGCAGCCGCGGUAAUACCAGCGCCACAAGUGGAAAUCACUAUUAUUGGGUCUAAAGCGUUCGUAGCUGGUUUUUUUAAGUUUCUUGUGAAAGCUCUGAGGCUCAACCCAGAAAUUGCAAGAAAUACUGAAAAACUUGAGACCGGGAAAGGUAAAAGGUAUUGUUUGGGUAGCGGUUAAAUGCUAUAAUCCUUACAAGACCAACUAAUGCGAAGGCAUUUUACUAGAACGGAUCUGACAGUGAGGAACGAGAGCCAGGGGAGCGAACCGGAUUAGAUACCCGGGUAGUCCUGGCCGUAAACGCUGCGGGUUACGCUUUGCUAAAUCUACGAGAUUUAGCAGGGGGGUAGCGAAGGCAUUAAACCCGCCACCUGGGAAGUACAGCCGCAAGGCCGAAACUUAAAGGAAUUGCCGGGGGAGUACUACAAGGGGUGCGGCGUGCCGUUUAAUUGGAUUUUACACCGAGAAACUUACCAGGGGCGACAGCCGAAUGAAGGUCAGAUUAAAGGUUUUACCUAACACGCUGAGAGGUGCUGCAUGGCCGCCGUCAGCUCGUGCUGUAAGGUGUCCUCUUAAGUGAGGAAACGAGCAAGACCUAUGCCUAUAAUUGCUAACUGAGUCUAUCAGAGCACAUUAUAGGGACUGCCUUGGCAACAAGGAGGAGGGUGUAGGCUACGGUAGGUCUGUAUAGCCCGAAUCUCCUGGGCUACAAGCGCGCAACAAUGGUAGGGACAAUGAGACGCAACUCCGAAAGGAGAAGCAAAUCUCCAAACCCUAUCUUAGUUUAGAUCGAGGUUUGUAACUCAGCCUCGUGACAACGGAAUCCCUAGUAACCGGGUGUUAUCAACGCCCGGUGAAUAUGUCCAUUCUCCUUGGACACACUGCCCGUCAAACCAACCAAGUAGGGCUUAGACGAGGCCAUAUUUUUUGAUAUGGUCAAGUCUGAGUUCUGUAAGGGGGGUUAAGUCGACACAAGGUA